UCCCUGGUAACCUAAUGGUUAGGGCUCAGUGCUUUCACCACUGUGGCCCAGGUUCAAUCCCUGGUUUGGGAA
RNAcentral lists this transfer RNA (72 nucleotides) under Sus scrofa (pig). It matches the Rfam family "tRNA". From Rfam's summary of the family: Transfer RNA (tRNA) molecules are approximately 80 nucleotides in length. Their secondary structure includes four short double-helical elements and three loops (D, anti-codon, and T loops). Further hydrogen bonds mediate the characteristic L-shaped molecular structure. tRNAs have two regions of fundamental functional importance: the anti-codon, which is responsible for specific mRNA codon recognition, and the 3' end, to which the tRNAs corresponding amino acid is attached (by aminoacyl-tRNA synthetases). tRNAs cope with the degeneracy of the genetic code in two manners: having more than one tRNA (with a specific anti-codon) for a particular amino acid; and 'wobble' base-pairing, i.e. permitting non-standard base-pairing at the 3rd anti-codon position. The record is from Rfam by way of RNAcentral. Lineage: Eukaryota; Metazoa; Chordata; Mammalia; Artiodactyla; Suidae.